This 482-nucleotide ribosomal RNA is filed under the name Brenneria goodwinii. RNAcentral describes it as "partial 23S ribosomal RNA". It matches the Rfam family "Bacterial large subunit ribosomal RNA", at positions 2470 to 2925 of the family's 2925-position model. Lineage: Bacteria; Pseudomonadati; Pseudomonadota; Gammaproteobacteria; Enterobacterales; Pectobacteriaceae. The record is from RNAcentral.
GGGGAUAACAGGCUGAUACCGCCCAAGAGUUCAUAUCGACGGCGGUGUUUGGCACCUCGAUGUCGGCUCAUCACAUCCUGGGGCUGAAGUAGGUCCCAAGGGUAUGGCUGUUCGCCAUUUAAAGUGGUACGCGAGCUGGGUUUAGAACGUCGUGAGACAGUUCGGUCCCUAUCUGCCGUGGGCGUUGGAAGAUUGAGAGGGGUUGCUCCUAGUACGAGAGGACCGGAGUGAACGCACCACUGGUGUACGGGUUGUGAUGCCAAUUGCAUUGCCCGGUAGCUAAGUGCGGAAGAGAUAACCGCUGAAAGCAUCUAAGCGGGAAACUUGCCUCGAGAUGAGUCUUCCCUGGGACCUUGAGUCCCCUAAAGGGCCGUUGAAGACGACGACGUAGAUAGGCCGGGUGUGUAAGCGCAGCGAUGCGUUGAGCUAACCGGUACUAAUGACCCGAGAGGCUUAACCUUACAACACCGAAGGUGUUUUAG